Molecule: small RNA, 115 nt
Filed under: Pseudomonas flexibilis
Lineage: Bacteria; Pseudomonadati; Pseudomonadota; Gammaproteobacteria; Pseudomonadales; Pseudomonadaceae
Description: Pseudomonas tuomuerensis Manganese sequence
Rfam family: Manganese Mn2+ riboswitch aptamer (yybP-ykoY)
About the family: This RNA was originally discovered in E. coli during a large scale screen and was named SraF.
Source: RNAcentral
CCCGCCGUCCUGGGGGAGUAGUCUCCUGCGAGCGCCCUGCUCGCGCGGCCCGCGUCAACAUGCUUGGUCCACAGACCAUGGCGCCGGCGACCCGACAGGCUUGAAGCCUGGGGUU